CAAUUCUCCACCAAGGAGUGCAGUCACAGAUUUAAUUAACACAUUUUUUUAACAAGCGUCAUCAGGAUGGAAGUGUGUCCUCUCGAAUGGUGGCUGAAGCAUUCAAAGCAGCAAAGAGUCCUGUG
This is a non-coding RNA of Chelonoidis abingdonii (Abingdon island giant tortoise), 125 nucleotides long. The record is from RefSeq and is a predicted model, not a curated record. Lineage: Eukaryota; Metazoa; Chordata; Testudines; Testudinidae.